UGAACUCGUACAAAACAUGUUUGACAUAGUCUCACACAAUUCACUCAUCCUUUGUAAAUCAAUCAACACGUUUUUCCCGAGGCAAUGCCAAUGUUCAGUUCACAUAGCACGUGAUUUUUAUGACUACAUAUUGUUAUUGUUGGCGCCAGCGCGGAUAUAUUCAAAGUGACACGUCUAAAAAGGUUGUGUCUUUGUGGCAGAGAUAAAGUGGUGUAUAUAAGAUCAUAGAUGGGUCCACGUGGUUUCAGAUUUCUACUGUAGGGUAAAAAGGUCGUGUUCAAGUGACAAAGUUCAAGAUCAAAGAAACAGAUCACGGGUGGAGGUGUUUUUCAAAUAUGGAAUAUUAAAUGUUGUGUUUUAAUGGCAAAGAUCAAGCACAACAUACAGAUCAUGGACAAAGGUGUUGUUAGAUCUGGAGCACAAACGGGCUACCAUGGAAACGAACCUCUACAUCUAGGCAGUGGUGCAAAUGGAAAACAGACAUUCAGAUCUACAAAGUUGUACGGCAGAUUCUGGAGUACAAAACGGUUACCAUGGAAACAUACAUCUAGGCAAUGGUAUAGAUGGAUGACCGAGGCCGAGAUCUGCAAAGUUAUACAGCAUAUUUUGGAGAAUACAUGGUAUGAAGUUUACUUUUAAUUUCUUGUAACACUAUAAUACAUUUGUUUCUGUCUUUACACAUGCCUUUCUGUAUCUUAUGCAUUCAACAGGGUUACCACGGAAACGUAUAUAUACCUAAAGGCAAUGAUAUAAACUGAAUGCAGACGUUCAGAUACACAAAGUUUUACAGCAGAUGAAGCAUGUAAGGUGUGUAUGUUUACUUUUUCUUCCUUUUGGCAACAUUGUUAUGUUUGUUUCUGUUUUUACACAUGCCUGUCUGUAUCUUAUACAAACAACAGGUUUAGCACGGAAACGCAUGUCCACAUCAAUGCAAUGGUAUAAAUGGAUGACCGACGUUCAGAUGUACUAAGUUAUACAGCAAAUUUUGGAACAUAAAGGGUUUGUAUAUUUACUUUUCCUUUAAUGCGUAAUUUGUAUAAAGGUAAUACUAAGCUUAUAUAUGUUUGUUUCUGUUCUUACACAUGCAUUUCUCUAUCUAUACACUGAACAGGGUUACCAUGGAAACAUACCUCUUCAUCUAGGCAAUGGUAUAAACUGAUGACCGGCAUUCAAGUCCCUGGCAAAGAGAGAAAUUCAGCUGUCGAUCAAGCGCUACAGGUUUAGCUUUAAAUAAUCUAAGCCUUGCUAAGACCUGAAAAUAAAUGUCAGGCAAAACUGAAACAAAAGCAAAAUAACUGGAUGCACUUAAAGAGCACCUAAUCUAUCUUGUAUACUUUCGCUUCGUAAUACUGUAUGUUUAGUGUUUGCUGUUUUGUCAGGGAUCUGUUUGCAGUGGCUACUUGGUUGUUUUUGUGGUGGUGUUUAUUGUGGUGUUUGUUGUGGUGUUUUUGUGUAUAUGGAGGUGUCUGUGGUGGUUUCAAUGUGGUCUUCUCGGUUUUAUUCUUGAUGGUUGUAUUGUUUUGUUGAAAACGGGCAUUUGGUGCGUUUUGUUUGUUGUAUUGGGCUGUUUGUCAUGGUGUUUUUCUUUCUGCCAUUACCAAUGUAUUAUUACUCGCUUUGUAUACUGUAGAAAAUUAUUAGAAUAAGUUCAAUAUUACAUUGUGUUAUAACUUUACUUGUCCAGCAAAUUUUAGAUACCCGGAAACACAUAUGAAGAUAUAGGCGGACGAAUAGACAUCAUGUGCAGACGAAAGCUUGGGCUGGGAAGCGUGCUCCGUUGUUUUAUUUCUGCUUUUUAUUCCUUUUGUUUUGCAUUGCAUUGCUUUUUUCACUAGACUUUUGGGGCACGUGAAGAACGAAGACGCAGACGGAUAUUGAAGAUGCAUACCAGACAAAAUUUGGGUUACUGUUUAUCACAAACAGGUGCGUAUGUUGCUUUUUAUAUUAUUCUAUUUUGUAUGCAUCUCUUCGCAGAAUUUUCAAGUUGAAUACAAGCCGGUGUAAAGAUGUCGCAUUGUAGAUGACACAAUGGUUUAGUGGAUGGGGAAGAUAGCGCGGCUGAUGUUGACUGUACAGACACGCGUUAAGAUGUCAUGCUGUAGAUGUGACAAUGGUUUUGUGGACGACGCAGCUUGGGUUUUCUUUUUGGACGCACUGAGUAUUUAGUCAGCAGAGUAUAACUUUCAACAUGUAAGAAGCAGAGGUCAAUUUUCCACUUGGAGUAAUUCAAUAGCAUGGCAAUGUGGACACAGAUCCUGGUUUUGGUAAAAGAAGUACUCGAAAUAUCCGACGAAAAGCAAUUUCUUGGAUUAUACACUAGGAAGAAAAUGUUAGUUAAUGGAACAAUAGCAGCAGUAGAACUACCUUGCCGGUACCCUAACGAAGCCGGUCAUCAGAUGUGCAUUGAAACCCUAUCAAACCCUUGCGUUACCAUGGUAAUCAGCCGUUAUCAACAAGGCAAGGUAGUGCAUGGAUAUAGUGGAAUUCAAGCCUUGGUGGACCUUUCUUCUGUAUUUGUCCAGUCUUGUUGAUCGUAGACAGCUGUUCCACACCUCGUACACAACAGAGAAACCCCCUCGGACGAAGAAUUCGUUCAGAUUCACAAGUAAGAAGUAUCUGCAGAAGAAAGAACCAAUUAUGGUAGAUCCACGACAGUCCUGGCACAAGCAAACAUGGCAUCACCACAGCCCCGACACAAGCUUUGUUGAGAUUAGAUAUAAACUAACAUGUAUAUAAUUAUACCUUCAUGUACAAAGUACACGGGAUUAUAUUGGAGUCACAUAUGUCAGCGGGUCCGUUCGCUUAUCUGUCCAUCAUGUCCGCUGGGAAGAUUUUUAAAAAAAAUGGCUUCAUUUAUUAGCCUCAACAAGAAUGUUCGUUGUGCACAACCCAAGUUACUAGGCCCAAGGUCAGUAUUACUCUUGGAGGACAAAGUUCAAAUAACUUUAAUUUAGUGUCCGCUCCAUGUAGUCUUAACUGCAACGAAUAUUUAGGUCAAGCAUUCGUUAUUGAACUCGCCCUGCCUUCAGGGUCACUGUCACCGUUGCAUUCAGGUUAAACUUUUAUAUGAUUCUCAAAAUCACUAUAUUUUCUUAACUACUGCCCAUAUUAGCAUCAAACUUCACAUUUGUUGAUUGUGGUAAAACGCAGACAUUUAUUUGUUAGGGGUCAAGCAUCCAAAAGGUCAAAGUUACUUGGGUCAUAUUUUGUAAUUGUGCUGGUUAAAUCUUAGAUUGUUUCUUAUAUCUUCUCAUUCUCCCUCCCCUAACCCCUACUCUACCCCCUAAAAGAAAAGAGUCUUAUUUAUCACUCACGCUUACUUAUAUCCUAUAGCAAUAAAUAUUGGUCAGCAUUUCCGAAUAGUCACGCGGGCUUUCCUUACAACAGUUCUUGAUAUAAAAUUAGGAUUAGUAAAUAGAUGUAAGCACUCACAACCUAGUUCAUUCGGUCAAAGGUCAAGUUCUGACUUAAAAGACCGCACCAUAUUGCCUAAUCUAAUAAAGUAAGCACUAACUGUCAAUUCCAUCUAGCCACUAGGUUAAACGUCAUUGUGACAGAUAUGAGGUCAAAGGUCAAAUAGCUUUGUGACUGAUACAUAUCUUGAAACCCCAUUUUCCAUACACUCGUAAAACUAGCAAUAAAUAUCAAGAAGACAUGUAUAGAACCCAGAUUAUUAGAUCCAAGGUCAAGGUUACACUUGAAUGUCAAAAUGAUGACAACAUUGACUUACCCUGCAUCAAAGCAGCGUCUGGGGGUAACAAUAGUUCUAGUUUAUCAUUUUUAGCGGACCAAAUUUGUAAUCGUAUUAACCAUUUGACAAAUAUUUCCUAAACUUUAGGAUAAAUAUUUAAAACAAAAAUCAGGAAAUUGUUUGUUUUUUUUAACACUGAUACAGUGGGACUAUUUUUAGACACAGCGAAUAUUUUAGCUUGAUUUGUUGCCAGUCGUGAUUUUCUAAAUGAUAGUUUUAUUACAAAUUCAAAAUGUAGCACAUUUGACAUUAAUGUAAAAAAUCAGGGACGGCGAAUUUUGUAAGAAAAAAAUGUAGUUGGUUAAAUAUUUCAAAAAGUGUCUCAAAUUUUUGCUCUUUUGAACAGUUGCGUUUUAACUGGUCAGGGAUUGUUUCAAAAAUAAAUAUGCGUAGUUUAGUUGAUGUAUAAAAAGCUACUUUUUGCAACUUGUACAUUUUGGAGUGGGGGCUAAAUUCCAAACCCUCAUAUAUUUUAAAACAUAUAGAGGACAUUCCUUUGUUUCAGUGUAAGCUCGAAACAGAAACAUUCUAGUGUUCACACGUGAAAAUUUUUAAAAAGUAAUCACACGGAUUUUAUUCUAAUGCAUUUUAUUUUUAUAUUAUAUUUUCUGCCAACGUAACGCCAUACGCUAUGUGCAACGUUACUCUACAUUUUAUGGCAAUACUUAUGUUGGAAAAAAGUGACAUAGUGACAUUUCAAUCUACAUGUAAUUAUGUUUUAGUUAAAAAGAUAUCCGAUUCUACGUUAUUCAUAUUCUUGCGUUAAAUUGUGGUUACAUACAAGUGAAAAUUGUAUUUGGAUUUCUCACCUUUUAGGAGCGGCUUUAUCAGGGUAUAAUGCAUC
Long non-coding RNA from Mercenaria mercenaria, 4595 nucleotides. RefSeq lists it as uncharacterized. Lineage: Eukaryota; Metazoa; Mollusca; Bivalvia; Venerida; Veneridae. The record is from RefSeq and is a predicted model, not a curated record. The transcript has 10 exons.